UGGGGAAUUUUGGACAAUGGGCGCAAGCCUGAUCCAGCCAUGCCGCGUGCGGGAAGAAGGCCUUCGGGUUGUAAACCGCUUUUGUCAGGGAAGAAAUCUUCUGAGUUAAUACCUCGGGAGGAUGACGGUACCUGAAGAAUAAGCACCGGCUAACUACGUGCCAGCAGCCGCGGUAAUACGUAGGGCGCAAGCGUUAAUCGGAAUUACUGGGCGUAAAGCGUGCGCAGGCGGUUUUGUAAGACAGAGGUGAAAUCCCCGGGCUCAACCUGGGAACUGCCUUUGUGACUGCAAGGCUUGAGUGCGGCAGAGGGGGAUGGAAUUCCGCGUGUAGCAGUGAAAUGCGUAGAUAUGCGGAGGAACACCGAUGGCGAAGGCAAUCCCCUGGGCCUGCACUGACGCUCAUGCACGAAAGCGUGGGGAGCAAACAGGAUUAGAUACCCUGGUAGUCCACGCCCUAAACGAUGUCAACUGGUUGUUGGGAAGGUUCCUUCUCAGUAACGUAGCUAACGCGUGAAGUUGACCGCCUGGGGAGUACGGCCGCAAGGUUGAAACUUAAAUGAAUUGACGGGGUCAUAGCUGUUU
This 582-nucleotide ribosomal RNA is filed under the name uncultured bacterium. Its description in RNAcentral is "partial 16S ribosomal RNA". It matches the Rfam family "Bacterial small subunit ribosomal RNA", at positions 355 to 935 of the family's 1533-position model. The record is from RNAcentral.